Molecule: long non-coding RNA, 2339 nt
Organism: Hordeum vulgare subsp. vulgare (domesticated barley)
Lineage: Eukaryota; Viridiplantae; Streptophyta; Magnoliopsida; Poales; Poaceae
Exons: 5
Source: RefSeq, a predicted model, not a curated record
UCGGCGACCUUCCGGCCUCCGCCUUCUACGCCACCCUUCUCUCCCUACACCCCAGAUCGAAUCCAGCAGCUCAGGACGAAACCCUAGCUCGAUGCCAUGGCCACACCAGCAGCAGUCCCUCCCUCCCUAGCCCGCGGCCAUGGCGACCUAGCAGGCAAGAGGAACCUGAACCCUAUCACCGGCCAUGGCGAGCGUGGAAGGCACCAUGGGAGAGGAGGCAUGUGCUGCUGCUCAAGACCCUAAACCAGAAAGGAAGCUCUUCCUCACCUCACCUUUUCUCUCUCCCUGAUCGAGCACCUUCGCCAUGGGAGAGGAAGGUUGUUUCAUCCGCCUGCUGUACUGCUGCUCUAGGGGACAUGCACCUGCUUGUUGUGCUGCUGCUCUGUACGCCAUGGACAUCCCUCCUCUGGUUCUCCUCGCUCGUCAAGGUAGUAAGCUGCUCUAACCCAUCUUCCCCUCUCAAAUUCGGUACAAGAAAAUGAUUUUUGUAACUGGACAUCAAAAGCAGAACCGGUGUGUGUUGUUGGUCAAGCAAGAAGAAAGAAAAAAGGCAUCCGUUGCCUGCAAAACAAAUCUGUGUGUGUGCUGCUCUCCUCCUCCUCUGUUUUUGCUUGUGUCAAUUUGCUCCAACAGCUUGCGCGCGUGUGUGCAUCCAUUGGGAGAGAGAGAGGCUCUUGCCAACACCUCUACAAUCUCACCGGAGUUCUAUUUUUCUGUGAUGUUGCCUAUUUUGUUGUUGAAAUUGACCGUAUCCCUGUGUCAAAUGGAUAUUUUUUCCUCCAUUGAAAUGAAGCAUAUUGCUUUUGAGUGCUCACAUUGACAUUACUGUGGAAUAAAAUGUUCAUUAUAUGCUCUUCUGUUGAAUAACGUGUAAAACAGGUCCAGCCAUUUGCCAAGUCUAUUAUAUUUGUUCUAAAAGAAAAGAAAAAAAAACAGGUUCUUGCCUAUCUAUAGUAUAUGUGUUUUCAAAAAAGCUGUAUCUUUUUCUUCGAGAGAGAUGCACUUCUGUAUCAACAUUCUUUUUAAAAAGUGACACAUGUCUAUCCAAAAUUUUGAACUUCAUGGCCUCGUAUAAUUUCUUGAGUUGGUGAAAGUAAUUGCCGGAUACUGAGAGUAACCACAACAGAUAAAUAUGUCAUCAAACCACCAUGUUCUACCCCAUUUUGGAGGAACAAGAUUAAAGUCAUACCAGCAGAAUUAACUACAUGAAAGGUCCAUCCUUUUCAGGAAAAACCCACCGUGCAGCCCUACGAGCAAGUUCAUGAGCAGAAGGAUUGAGCUCAAUCAAUAAAUUUGAAUACUGGCUAGGCACACAUCCACACGGAAACCAGUACUAGAUCGAACAGUAUUGACCAUGGGUUCAGGUUGACAAUGGUCAUAAACCUCUCAUCACUUUGGUAUGUUGAUUGACCUCUUUUUUGCACUGCAUGUGCAGGUGCUAAACAUUGGUACGUGUUGGUGGGGCUCGACAAGCUCACCCAGGGAGGGCACCCCCAAGCUGAACUCCAUGGAGCCCCGCUCCAGCGUCUAGGACAGGUCUUUGUUACUGGAUCCAUUACUAGGACAUGAUUUCUUCUUUUCCUUCUCCAUUUGAGAUCAACAUUCGUUAUGUCCUUCUUGUGCAGCAGCAGCAGGAUUCCAUCGGUACACGAGAUGACAAGGGGUUCAUCGAGGUGUGUGGUGGUAGGCUCUUUCGUUGGACCCGCUGCCUGUUCGGCAUCGGCUCCAUAACAGUCAUGAACCAACUAGCCUGUCCUUCCAUUUGUGGUAUUGAUGGCCAUGGACCACGGUUCUAGUAGUCGGCAAAGCACGUAUCUACUAACUGCUCCUAUCCAGGAUGCGUGCAAAAGGUUCCCCUGGAGGUUGGGGCACACCGUGGAUGGCUUAAACCCGCCCUUCUUCAGUUACAUUCUAGAUUGUGGUGCUGAUCUCAGUCAGGAAAAGGAAGAGAACAUUAUUGUUCUUCAUCUGUCCGUGAAGAAAGUUUUGCAUAGAUGAAGUGCUGCUAGCUCUGAAAGGCAAUAGAAGAUGAUCCUCCGCAUUUAUUCAAGCCUAGCUUUGGUGGCCGGGUCAGUGCGGGAGGAGAAAGGUUUCCGGACUCAAGGAAGAGGCGUCGUGAAAAGAAACUAGGUUGUAAUCCACAAGGCGGGACAUGGGACCUGGAUGGAGUUGCCCUUGGCAAUGGAUGGUUUGUUGGUGUGUGUAAUAGGCUGGCUGUUGUGUUACGCCUUUGUGUAUGGUGGCCGGCUAUAGUUAAGAGCUGGUGGAUGGCAGAGUUGUUGUAGCGGCACACAAUACAUUGCUUUCCCUCUUAUGUGAAAUACAAAAUGGUUGUCCUA